CCUACGGGUGGCUGCAGUGGGGAAUAUUGGACAAUGGGGGGAACCCUGAUCCAGCCAUGCCGCGUGUGUGAAGAAGGCCCUCGGGUUGUAAAGCACUUUCAGUGAGGAAGAACGCCUGGUGGUUAAUACCCAUCAGGAAAGACAUCACUCACAGAAGAAGCACCGGCUAACUCCGUGCCAGCAGCCGCGGUAAUACGGAGGGUGCGAGCGUUAAUCGGAAUUACUGGGCGUAAAGCGCGCGUAGGUGGCUUGAUAAGCCGGUUGUGAAAGCCCCGGGCUCAACCUGGGAACGGCAUCCGGAACUGUCAAGCUAGAGUGCAGGAGAGGAAGGUAGAAGUCCCGGUGUAGCGGUGAAAUGCGUAGAGAUCGGGAGGAAUACCAGUGGCGAAGGCGGCCUUCUGGACUGACACUGACACUGAGGUGCGAAAGCGUGGGUAGCAAACAGGAUUAGAUACCCUAGUAGUC
RNAcentral lists this ribosomal RNA (465 nucleotides) under Vreelandella stevensii. RNAcentral's name for it is "partial 16S ribosomal RNA". It matches the Rfam family "Bacterial small subunit ribosomal RNA", at positions 338 to 795 of the family's 1533-position model. The record is from RNAcentral. Lineage: Bacteria; Pseudomonadati; Pseudomonadota; Gammaproteobacteria; Oceanospirillales; Halomonadaceae.